UCUGAUAUAUUUAAUUCACUCAAAUCGGUUCUCGUAUGAGCAAAACUGAGAUUUCCGUGACUUCAAUUAUUAUUCAAUAAAAAACUCAACUAACCCGCCUCUCCAAAUAUCAUUCCAGACACCAUCUCGUUGGACGACGAUUCCUGCUUUGCUACCCUUUCCAGCUGCUAUCAGAUCAGUUGAAGCUUCCGAAUGUUGGUGGUUUCACAAUCCGUCGUCAACAGCCUCAAACUGAAACCUGUUGCGGGUCGUGCACUGACUGGGGUUGACAUAAAACCGACCAUCAGUACACCGAAACUGGUUCCGAAAAAACAACUCCCGCGGUAGCGGUACCAUCAUCGUCAUCAACGAGCCCCUCGCCAACCGGUUCGCGUGCUUCACAAUUCAGCUCCGCCAAAUCGUCCAGUUAGAGAGCAUCACCGUCGGGAAAAACAGCAAUGGUCCUCUCCAGACGAAAACCAUCGACGGCGUCAACUGUCUCAGAGACUGAAUCACUGGAUCUCUGACUCUGAUAGUUUUUCCAUCGAUGGCCCAACUCCGAUGGGAUUGACUCGGUACAGUAUCUGCAAUCGGAACUUUGCAGGCGAACGGAUUACGAAACAUCGGGAAAUUUGCAUGAAGACAAAGAGCAAAAAUCUGUUGCAGACGAUAAAACAGCUCAUCUUUGCAAAAAGAAACCGGAUGCGAGUGAUUGUAAAAAUAUAUGAUAUAAUGAUAUCACGUCGCCCUCACUGUGGAGGAUCAGCCGAACGAGCCUAGCACUCCUCCAGAGUUAACCGACAAGGAGAACGAAUCAGAGCGGACAAAGGUUCUCCCUGAGGUAGUUCAUUGGGCCAUUUACGGGGAAUGAGUGGACCCGGCGAUUAUUCGCCCCGUCGCUAGGGAGGUUCCAUCUAAAGAGCAAAGCUUAUCUCCCUGGCAAAUUGUCCAGCAGCAAACUGUAACAUCGGUUGUUGUGUUCCCGGCCGGUUGACAGCAGAGCGUCAAGUAAUAGCAGCAAUAGGAGGGAACUCGAGGGAAAUAGGUACGGGAAACUUAUUUGUUUUGUUUACUUUUGUGUCUUUUUGGCAGAAGCACCUAGGCCGCCCUGACAACAAGGGUCUGUCGAGCAGGCACCAGCACAGGUUAUUUGUUAUUUAACAUCAAAAUCUUAAGACCUGCUCAACACAAGAAUUUAGACUCAUGACUUCACCAUCUGGGCUCCAUCCCAUAUCUCAACCUAUCAAUAGAUGGAACGAGACUAACUGUGUUAUUUCCCUUCCGAAGGAAGACGUGACCAAGCAUUUUGCAACUCAGAAAAUCGCAACAACCUCGACUUGGAUUUGUAAUCCGCUAUGGUAACAAUUGAGAACUGGGUGGAAAUAUACUUAUUUUUGUUUAUACACUCCGUAGCGUGUAUUUGUUUACGCAACAUUUUGCUCACAAUUAUUUUCUACCGUUCUCGUUUAGUUGUAAAUUUUUGUUCCUUUUCGCGUUUGUAAUCGGUUUGGUUCGUGUAGAUAGGUUAGAUCAUUUUUGCGGCAAAAAGUUGAUUAAUUAACCAAUUCGGUGCGUGUGUGUGACGGUGAAAAUCCCACUCGAAAAGUGCCGAUCUGUGGUUUGGGUACUUGUGUGUAUGGUGUUGGUUCGCCGAAGGGGGACAGUUAACCGUAAUAGAGUGAUCUCGCGUUCCCGGCUAAAACGCAAGGAAUCAAACAUCAACCGUUUUCACUGUGGAGGAUCAGUCGAACGGUCGCCAGCUGGCGUAGUAAGCGAUCCGGUCCUUUAUCACCACUGUCGCUAGGGAGGAUCUAUCAAAGGAGUCUUGCUCACCUUCCUAGCUAAAAACCAAGGACCGUUUCUGUAGCAGCCAAUGAAAACUGCAGGUGAACGCGACCGUUGGGAUCCGAACCGGUCGGA
Molecule: long non-coding RNA, 1899 nt
Organism: Topomyia yanbarensis
Lineage: Eukaryota; Metazoa; Arthropoda; Insecta; Diptera; Culicidae
Exons: 3
Source: RefSeq, a predicted model, not a curated record